This 582-nucleotide ribosomal RNA is filed under the name bacterium S5-04. RNAcentral describes it as "partial 16S ribosomal RNA". It matches the Rfam family "Bacterial small subunit ribosomal RNA", at positions 56 to 639 of the family's 1533-position model. The record is from RNAcentral.
UGCAGCGAGCGGUAUUGUUCUUCGGAAUGAGAVACCSGCGUACGGGUGCGUAACACGUGUGCAACCUGCCUUUAUCUGGGGGAUAGCCUUUCGAAAGGAAGAUUAAUACUCCAUAACAUAUUGGVCGGCAUCGUUUAAUAUUGAVAGCUCCGGCGGAUAGAGAUGGGCACGCGCAAGAUUAGCUAGUUGGUGAGGUAACGGCUCACCAAGGCGAUGAUCUUUAGGGGGCCUGAGAGGGUGAUCCCCCACACUGGUACUGAGACACGGACCAGACUCCUACGGGAGGCAGCAGUUAGGAAUAUUGGUCAAUGGGUGCAAGCCUKAACCAGCCAUCCCGCGUKAAGGACGACUGKCCCUAUGGGUUGUAAACUUCUUUUGUAUAGGGAUAAACCUACCCUCGRGAGGGUAGCUGAAGGUACUAUACGGAAUAAGCACCGGCUAACUCCGUGCCAACAGCCGCGGUAAUACGGGGGGGUGCAAGCGUUAUCCGGAUUUAUUGGGUUUAAAGGGUCCCUAGGCGGACUUAUAAGKCAGUKGUGAAAGCCUBUCGCUUAACGGUAGAACUSCCAUUGAUACUGUAAG